This 71-nucleotide transfer RNA is filed under the name Solea solea (common sole). Its description in RNAcentral is "tRNA-Asp". It matches the Rfam family "tRNA". Rfam says of the family: Transfer RNA (tRNA) molecules are approximately 80 nucleotides in length. Lineage: Eukaryota; Metazoa; Chordata; Actinopteri; Pleuronectiformes; Soleidae. The record is from RNAcentral.
AAGACACUAGUAAAAAGACAUUACAUCUCCUUGUCAAGGAAAAAUUGCGGGUUGAAUCCCCGCGUGCCUUA